UGCCAGCAGCCGCGGUAAUACAGAGGGUGCAAGCGUUAAUCGGAAUUACUGGGCGUAAAGGGCGUGUAGGUGGUUACUUAAGUUGGAUGUGAAAGCCCCGGGCUUAACCUGGGACCUGCAUCCAAAACUGGGUGGCUAGAGUACAGUAGAGGGAAGUGGAAUUUCUAGUGUAGCGGUGAAAUGCGUAGAUAUUAGAAAGAACACCAGUGGCGAAGGCGGCUUCCUGGACUGAUACUGACACUGAGGCGCGAAAGCGUGGGUAGCGAACAGGAUUAGAUA
RNAcentral lists this ribosomal RNA (279 nucleotides) under uncultured bacterium. RNAcentral describes it as "partial 16S ribosomal RNA". It matches the Rfam family "Bacterial small subunit ribosomal RNA", at positions 506 to 784 of the family's 1533-position model. The record is from RNAcentral.